AAGCGUCGUAGUUGAAUUUCGGGAUUAGUACGUCGGUCGUGCCUUAGGUACGUACUGGUGUUACUGGUUCCUACCUUCUGACGAACCAUCAUGUCAUUAAUUUGGUGUGGUGGGGAAUCAGGACUGUUACUUUGAAAAAAUUAGAGUGUUUAAAGCAGGCUCGCGCUUGAAUACAUUAGCAUGGAAUAAUGAAAUAGGACGUUGAUCCUAUUUUGUUGGUUUCUAGGAUUGACGUAAUGAUUAAUAGGGAAUAGUUGGG
Molecule: ribosomal RNA, 259 nt
Filed under: uncultured Glomus
Lineage: Eukaryota; Fungi; Glomeromycota; Glomeromycetes; Glomerales; Glomeraceae
Description: partial 18S ribosomal RNA
Rfam family: Eukaryotic small subunit ribosomal RNA
Source: RNAcentral